RNAcentral lists this ribosomal RNA (273 nucleotides) under uncultured bacterium. RNAcentral's name for it is "partial 16S ribosomal RNA". It matches the Rfam family "Bacterial small subunit ribosomal RNA", at positions 333 to 603 of the family's 1533-position model. The record is from RNAcentral.
UUGUUUCUACGGGAGGCAGCAGUGAGGAAUAUUGGUCAAUGGCCGGAAGGCUGAACCAGCCAAGUCGCGUUAGGGACGACUGCCCUAUGGGUUGUAAACCUCUUUUAUAAGGGAAGAAUAGAUGCUACGUGUAGCAUGAUGCCUGUACCUUAUGAAUAAGCAUCGGCUAACUCCGUGCCAGCAGCCGCGGUAAUACGGAGGAUGCGAGCGUUAUCCUGAUUUAUUGGGUUUAAAGGGUGCGUAGGCGGUUUUUUAAGUUAGUGGUUAAACGUC